Molecule: long non-coding RNA, 265 nt
Filed under: Ananas comosus (pineapple)
Lineage: Eukaryota; Viridiplantae; Streptophyta; Magnoliopsida; Poales; Bromeliaceae
Description: long non-coding RNA (ACOM_LNC033479)
Source: RNAcentral
UUCAACAAUCUAAAAAAUUCUUAAUUCUAGAGAAAGAAAAUGGCUUCAUCCUCUAACGAUCCACCUCCUUUCCCCUCCCAUCCUCCCAUCCCACCUGCUAAGCCACCAGAUUCAAGUGAAUCUCAGCGAUCAAACCCAACCUCCUGCGCUCAACUAUUCAGCAGACAAAAUACUUCAACUUCACCCUGCUCCUUACAUCAGUUGCAACGUAUCCAAUCCUCUACGUCCGAUGAAGUUUUCAUUUCCCCUGAACUACUAUCGAAAA